Molecule: ribosomal RNA, 253 nt
Filed under: uncultured bacterium
Lineage: Bacteria
Description: partial 16S ribosomal RNA
Rfam family: Bacterial small subunit ribosomal RNA
Source: RNAcentral
UACGUAGGGACCAAGCGUUGUUCGGAUUUACUGGGCGUAAAGCGUGCGCAGGCGGUUCGUUAAGUCAGCUGUGAAAGCCCCGGGCUCAACCUGGGAAUUGCGGUUGAAACUGGCGAACUAGAAUCUGGCAGAGGGGGGUGGAAUUCCACGUGUAGCAGUGAAAUGCGUAGAGAUGUGGAGGAACACCGAUGGCGAAGGCAGCCCCCUGGGCUGAGAUUGACGCUCAGGCACGAAAGCGUGGGGAGCAAACAGG